GGCGGAAGGGCGGGGCGCCGUGAGAGGCCGCUCCUCCCCACCCUGGCGGCUCGCUGCCCACCGCCUCCCGCCACCUACUUCUCCCCGCCCCCCCAUCUUGUUUCCAAGUCACUCCGGAUCUCCCCCCCUCCGAUGUUUUAGGAACGUUUUCCUGUCGCUCCGGUGCCUUCCCAGGUUCUCUGAUUAGAGUGAUCACGUGACAACAGGCCGGAUCCAUGGUAACCACGGCGUCGCAGCAGCCACGGCUUCCCACCCCAGACUACAGGUCAGAGCGCGGGUCCCGGUCAGGGCCGCCGUGCGCUCCCAGGCUCCGCCCCUCCCAGAGGGGUUUCCGGUUUUCUGGGAUCCAGCUGCCCCGGAAUCUUAGAAUUUAAAUUUUCCUUGGCCGUUUCGUAGGUGAAAAAUGAUGUUUCCUGCUGUGUGUAGUUAGCUCGAGGAUAAGAGAGGAAAGAAGAUUCAUGUCCCAGAGCCGAGGAGAGGCCAGCAACAAUCAGGGGAAGAAAAAAGAAGAAGAAGCAACUUGCUCUGGGCGACCAGCAGUCCGCCCUGGGAGGCAUGGCCAGAGCACCUGAAAGCAAUGUUCUCGCACACCUUGGCUAGAAACCACCUGCUUAAGGAGCACGUGGCAUGGCUGCAGGGCACCUGUGUUCGUGGAGGCUCAAUAUAUGAAGCUGCAGCCGCUCCUGGGUGUGGAGGUUUCAGUGUCCGGCUGCCGCUCCGGUCUCUGCUUCUGUCUUUGGAGGCCGGGGCGUCGGAGGAUAUAGCACCAGCAGCUUUAGUGUCUGGUGAGACCUCACUUCCUGACUCAUAAACUGGUGAUGGGUUCCUCCUCUAAGACACCAAAUGGGCCUUCCCAGAGUGACUCGAAUGAACUGUUUAAACAAAAAGCUUUGUUUUGCUGAAACCGGUUUGGCUCAAUGGAUAGAGCGUCGGUCGGCGGACUGAGAGGUCCCGUGUUCGAUUCUGGUCAAGGGCAUGUACCUUGGUU
Molecule: long non-coding RNA, 988 nt
Organism: Pipistrellus kuhlii (Kuhl's pipistrelle)
Lineage: Eukaryota; Metazoa; Chordata; Mammalia; Chiroptera; Vespertilionidae
Exons: 5
Source: RefSeq, a predicted model, not a curated record